CAGGAGUAAAGACCUGUUAUCACUGAGUGAAUACAUAGCUCAGUUGAAGGUAGACGUGGGGAACUGAAACAUCUAAGUACCCAUAGGAAGAGAAAGAAAAUUCGAUUCCCUGAGUAGCGGCGAGCGAAAAGGGAACAGCCCAAACCAAGAAGCUUGCUUCUUGGGGUUGUAGGACUGGACAUUUGAGUUACCAAGAAACGAAGUAGUUGAAUGAUUUGGGAAGAUCAGCCAGAGAAGGUGAUAGCCCUGUAAGCGAAACUUCGUUUCCUCAGCCCAGUAUCCUGAGUACGGCGGAACACGUGAAACUCCGUCGGAAUCCGGGAGGACCAUCUCCCAAGGCUAAAUACUCCCUAGUGACCGAUAGUGAACCAGUACCGUGAGGGAAAGGUGAAAAGCACCCCGGGAGGGGAGUGAAAUAGUUCCUGAAACCAUGUGCCUACAAGUAGUCAGAG
This 452-nucleotide ribosomal RNA is filed under the name Ligilactobacillus animalis. RNAcentral's name for it is "partial 23S ribosomal RNA". It matches the Rfam family "Bacterial large subunit ribosomal RNA", at positions 132 to 579 of the family's 2925-position model. The record is from RNAcentral. Lineage: Bacteria; Bacillati; Bacillota; Bacilli; Lactobacillales; Lactobacillaceae.